Molecule: unclassified non-coding RNA, 285 nt
Filed under: Hevea brasiliensis (rubber tree)
Lineage: Eukaryota; Viridiplantae; Streptophyta; Magnoliopsida; Malpighiales; Euphorbiaceae
Source: RNAcentral
ACGAUGCUGAAUACCCAGAAACAAGAGCACCAGUACCAAGGCGAAAAACCAAAGCAAGAGAAGCACCCAAUAUGUCCAAAAUCUUAUCACCUCUCGGUGUAAAUGGCUUAGGUUUCGGCGGUUUGAAGUUCGGCGGCGGCGAAAAUGAAGAAUUAGGUUCCGCUUGAGUGCUCACAGAAGUGGAACCAUUGGAACUGUCUGAAGAUUGCGCCAUUGACUUAACAAACAAAACUCUGUUGUUUCUAGAGAGUUUGUGAGAAGAAACUGGUCGGAAAAUUGGCGCCG